AACGAACGCUGGCGGCAGGCUUAACACAUGCAAGUCGAACGGAUCCUUCGGGAUUAGUGGCAGACGGGUGAGUAACGCGUGGGAACGUACCCUUUGCUACGGAAUAACUCAGGGAAACUUGAGCUAAUACCGUAUGUGCCCUACGGGGGAAAGAUUUAUCGGCAAAGGAUCGGCCCGCGUUGGAUUAGCUAGUUGGUGGGGUAAUGGCCUACCAAGGGACGAUCCAUAGCUGGUCUGAGAGGAUGAUCAGCCACACUGGGACUGAGACACGGCCCAGACUCCUACGGGAGGCAGCAGUGGGGAAUAUUGGACAAUGGGCGCAAGCCUGAUCCAGCCAUGCCGCGUGAGUGAUGAAGGUCUUAGGAUUGUAAAGCUCUUUCACCGGUGAAGAUAAUGACGGUAGCCGGAGAAGAAGCCCCGGCUAACUUCGUG
This 432-nucleotide ribosomal RNA is filed under the name uncultured bacterium. RNAcentral describes it as "partial 16S ribosomal RNA". It matches the Rfam family "Bacterial small subunit ribosomal RNA", at positions 29 to 507 of the family's 1533-position model. The record is from RNAcentral.